Molecule: long non-coding RNA, 689 nt
Filed under: Arabidopsis lyrata
Lineage: Eukaryota; Viridiplantae; Streptophyta; Magnoliopsida; Brassicales; Brassicaceae
Description: long non-coding RNA (ALYR_LNC001155)
Source: RNAcentral
CUGUACACUCCGAGCUUACAGUGAUAGCGACUAUGGGGGCUGUCUCUCCACUAGAAGAUCUACAGGUGGUUUUUGUACCUUUUUGGGAACGAAUUUUAUCUCCUGGCAAUCUCAAAAACAGCCAACGGUAGCAAAAAGCUCUACAGAAGCAGAAUAUAGAGCUUUGUCAGAAGCUGCAUCAGAAAUUACUUGGAUCUGCAAAAUACUGAAGGAACUCAACAUACCUCUCUACUGUCCUCCGGAGUUGUACUGUGAUAAUCUCUCCUCCGUCUAUUUGACAGCAAAUCCGGCCUUCCAUAAACGCAGCAAACACUUUCAGACACACUGGCACUAUGUACGGGAGCAGGUCGCCUUGGGGAAUCUUCGGGUUACUCAUAUACCAAACACUCUCCAGCUCGCUGACAUCUUCACAAAGUCGCUUUCGCCGGGCCCUUUUACUUCUCUUCGAUUCAAACUCGGUGUCGCUGUCCCACCUACUCCGAGUUUGAGGGGGACUAUUAAGGAGGAAGAUCCAAAUUCGAAGAAAGGAGAAUUUGACCUAGCUGAGAAAAGCAACAACAAGAGUACUUUGCUCUCAGACAAGGAAACGACAAAAGGAGAAGUGAGUGUCUCAGCAAACAGGCCAAAGCCCAACAACAUUAAAAUGGUCUGGAAGCCCAAAACACUUUCUUCCCCAAAGUCCAGUGAGC